CUCGCUCGGUGACUGGGGGAACCGACAGCGGCCGCAGGCCCAGAGCGCGGUCACGUGAGCUGCGCCGCCGACGAGCCUGGGACGGAGCGAAGCGGCGCGGCGGCCGCUAGGGGGAGCGCGGGAGCGUCGAGUCGGGGGCGGGGAGCCCUGGGCGCCUGGGCUCGGCACAGCGCGGUGCGGCUGGACUCCGGGCGCGGGUGGCGCGGCAAAACUCCGGGCGCAGGUGGCGCGGCUGAGAGGGGCGCGCAGCUCGCGAAAUGCCCGGCGUCAAAGGCCUUCGGAGACCAAAGUCUCCGCGGACCGCUGGCUGGAGCCCAAAGCCGGCCGGACCUCCUCCCCGCGUCUCCCCUUUCGCGGCUCGGAGAGGAAGGCAAGGGAGCCCCCAAAUAUCAUUCCCUUCCCUCCCCCUAUGGAAACUGAUGCUGAAAGAGCCAGCGAGAGAAAGAAAAAAAAAAGUCGCGGAGAGGGGCGGCCCAAGCGACCGAGGGCACCGGGCAGCGCCAGCGACAGAGGGAAAUUAGUCGAGGGGACAGAGAGACAAGCCCCCUGAACUUAGGAAACUCUGAAGCAUGGAGCUGGAGUCCAGAAAAUGACUCCAAUGACAACUGCUCCGGAUCUGUGCCAGGAGCCACGCCCCGGGCUGCCACGCCCGGAGGGAGGGGCGCCCUAAGACCUGUAGCGUGGAAUCCGCACUGGGAAAGCCUCAGUAAACUCCAGAACGCAACUACUGCACGUUCCAAUGUCCCGCCACCUUCCCAGUGCCCCAGCUAGGACUUCGAUCACCUCAGCAAGAACUUACCUCUCCUUUGCAGUGGAAAAGAGGGAAUCCUGCCUAAAACCUACUUCACGGUGUUAAAUGGUCCCGGAGAGAACAAAAACAGAGAGGUAACUAUGUCAAGCUAUCUGCUGGAGCUGGGACACAUUCUUCCUCUCCUGUCCUUGGACAACAACUCCAGGCUCCCCAGCCUUCAAACUCCAGGACUUCUCCCCUCUCCUCCACCCUUCCUGGCUUCUCAGGCCUUUGGCCUUGAACUGAGAGCUACACCAUCAGAUUCCCUGAUUCUGAGGCCUUCGGGACUUGAAUUGAGCCAUACUACCAGCCUCCCAGGGUCUCCAGUCUGCAGACGACCUGUUUUGGGACUUCUUGCCAAUUUCCCUAAUAAAUAAACUCCAUUUCGUCUUUC
RNAcentral lists this long non-coding RNA (1184 nucleotides) under Homo sapiens (human). Its description in RNAcentral is "HSALNT0391201". Lineage: Eukaryota; Metazoa; Chordata; Mammalia; Primates; Hominidae. The record is from RNAcentral.